RNAcentral lists this ribosomal RNA (460 nucleotides) under uncultured bacterium. RNAcentral describes it as "partial 16S ribosomal RNA". It matches the Rfam family "Bacterial small subunit ribosomal RNA", at positions 338 to 795 of the family's 1533-position model. The record is from RNAcentral.
CCUACGGGGGGCUGCAGUGAGGAAUAUUGGUCAAUGGGCGGAAGCCUGAACCAGCCAAGUAGCGUGCAGGAUGACGGCCCUACGGGUUGUAAACUGCUUUUAUACGGGAAUAACGCGCCUUACGCGUAGGGCUUUGCAUGUACCGCAUGAAUAAGGACCGGCCAAUUCCGUGCCAGCAGCCGCGGUAAUACGGAAGGUCCGGGCGUUAUCCGGAUUUUUUGGGUUUAAAGGGAGCGUAGGCCGGAUGUCAAGCGUGCUGUGAAAUGUUCGGGCUCAACCCGGGCCUUGCAGCGCGAACUGGCGUGCUUGAGUCCGCGGAAAGCAGGCGGAAUUCGUCGUGUAGCGGUGAAAUGCUUAGAUAUGACGAAGAACCCCGAUUGCGAAGGCAGCUUGCUGCAGCGGAACUGACGCUGAUGCUCGAAAGCGCGGGUAUCGAACAGGAUUAGAUACCCCGGUAGUC